RNAcentral lists this long non-coding RNA (1131 nucleotides) under Mus musculus (house mouse). RNAcentral describes it as "long non-coding RNA chr5:24577563-24578694". Lineage: Eukaryota; Metazoa; Chordata; Mammalia; Rodentia; Muridae. The record is from RNAcentral.
AGAACGCGCGAUGAUUCUGGUUGGGGGAGGAUUAGAGUCCAAGAGGCCCGUCCUACCAAGCCGGUUUGAAGAACUGAAAACUGCAAAUCCCAGAUUGCUCCUCGGAGAGGUGGGCUGGUCUCCCAAAGGAUACCCCACCCCUAGCAGAUAAAUUUACCAGGCUGCUCUACUGGUUUAACCAGCAGGAAGUGCGACUAAGCUUCCCGGCCAGCGUCCUAAGAGUGCGAGACCAAACAAUGAGAGAAGAGAGUUAGAAGGUGGAGGGGAAAGAAGAGCGAGUUGCUGCUGGGCAGGUGGCUCUGAAAGUGAGGUAACCCUUUGUAGACCACGCCAACAGAACUCUGUUCGAGAAAGGCAUCCUCGUCUCAUGGAACCGAAAUUGAGAGCCUCGUCCAUCGCUAACGAAACUUUUUGAAAGUGCCAGACGCUGUGCUGAACCUUGGUAUCUUAGUCAAGAGUUUCUGGGUUCCACCAGAGCCAUGCGAAUGUGGUGGAAAAAUCUAAAGUAUAGGACCACUUUGCUGAGUUUAGCUCUAUGGACACUUAGUUGUGACUUGUUUCAUUUCCUUUGAGUCUCACUGUCUAAAAUCUAAAGCAGACUUAGUGUUAGGAACAUUAUAAACUAGAUCUGUAGCCUCAUACACAAAACAACUCUACGACCCUUGCUUGCUACCUGUCCAGGGUCCUGUCCACUGGUGUGUCAUCACUGAUGACACAGAAGGAAGCAAACUUAGUGCCCCUGAGUGCAUUCUCAGAAAGUGACCCCCUUUUCCUCUAAGGUCACCAUGUUGCCAAGCUAAAUAGAAAUUAGGCGUGAAGAUCAUUGAGGGUGGACAUCACAAGUAGCUUCAGAGCCUGCCCCCUGUGUCUUUGGCAGCACACUAAUUUUAAGAUGAAAACGGGCUAAAGAGAUGGCUCAGCAGUUAAGAGCACUGACUGCUCUACUAGAGAUCCUGAGUUCAAUUCCCAGCAACCACAUGGUGGCUCACAACCAUCUGUAAUGAGAUCUGAUGCCCUCUUCUGGUGUGUCUGAAGACAGCUACAGUGUACUCAUACACAUAGAUAAAUAAAUGAAAGAAAAGGGAGGAAGGUAAAAGGAGGCUUUGUAACACACACACACACACACAGCUU